This 333-nucleotide ribosomal RNA is filed under the name Bradyrhizobium sp. RNAcentral describes it as "bacterial SSU rRNA". It matches the Rfam family "Bacterial small subunit ribosomal RNA", at positions 990 to 1320 of the family's 1533-position model. Lineage: Bacteria; Pseudomonadati; Pseudomonadota; Alphaproteobacteria; Hyphomicrobiales; Nitrobacteraceae. The record is from RNAcentral.
CGGUCGCGGACUCCAGAGACGGAGUUCUUCAGUUCGGCUGGACCGGAGACAGGUGCUGCAUGGCUGUCGUCAGCUCGUGUCGUGAGAUGUUGGGUUAAGUCCCGCAACGAGCGCAACCCCCGUCCUUAGUUGCUACCAUUUAGUUGAGCACUCUAAGGAGACUGCCGGUGAUAAGCCGCGAGGAAGGUGGGGAUGACGUCAAGUCCUCAUGGCCCUUACGGGCUGGGCUACACACGUGCUACAAUGGCGGUGACAAUGGGAUGCUAAGGGGCGACCCUUCGCAAAUCUCAAAAAGCCGUCUCAGUUCGGAUUGGGCUCUGCAACUCGAGCCCA